This 219-nucleotide long non-coding RNA is filed under the name Musa acuminata (dwarf banana). RNAcentral's name for it is "long non-coding RNA (MACU_LNC008939)". Lineage: Eukaryota; Viridiplantae; Streptophyta; Magnoliopsida; Zingiberales; Musaceae. The record is from RNAcentral.
UGAGAGAUUAAAUCAUACUUCAUUUUUACAAGGAUCAAGAUAUGUAUGUGAAAUAAAUCCUUGCAAGUAAAAACACUUUCAUCCAUAUUCAUCAAAUUCAUUUCUCAAAAAAAUAUUUUUCACAUGAUAUGUGUAUGAGAGAUGUAUUUGCUAGUUAAUUACAUAUGUCAAAAAUCAAUGAUAUGAACUAAACUUGAUAUGACAUAUGCUUGUUAAGUU